UGAUGACAUUUCUUCUGUUUUCAGAAC
Molecule: non-coding RNA, 27 nt
Filed under: Rattus norvegicus (Norway rat)
Lineage: Eukaryota; Metazoa; Chordata; Mammalia; Rodentia; Muridae
Source: RNAcentral